This 253-nucleotide ribosomal RNA is filed under the name uncultured bacterium. RNAcentral's name for it is "partial 16S ribosomal RNA". It matches the Rfam family "Bacterial small subunit ribosomal RNA", at positions 524 to 776 of the family's 1533-position model. The record is from RNAcentral.
UACGGAGGGUGCAAGCGUUAAUCGGAAUUACUGGGCGUAAAGCGCACGUAGGUGGUUUGUUAAGCCAGCUGUGAAAUCCCCGGGCUCAACCUGGGCACUGCAGUUGGAACUGGCAAGCUAGAGUAGGGUAGAGGGGUGUGGAAUUCCAGGUGUAGCGGUGAAAUGCGUAGAUAUCUGGAGGAACAUCAGUGGCGAAGGCGACACCCUGGACUCAUAUUGACACUGAGGUGCGAAAGCGUGGGGAGCAAACAGG